Molecule: ribosomal RNA, 301 nt
Filed under: uncultured bacterium
Lineage: Bacteria
Description: partial 16S ribosomal RNA
Rfam family: Bacterial small subunit ribosomal RNA
Source: RNAcentral
CAGUCGCCGCGGGAAUACCGAGGGUGCAAGCGUUAAUCGGAAUUACUGGGCGUAAAGCGCGCGUAGGUGGUUCGCCAAGUUGGAUGUGAAAUCCCCGGGCUCAACCUGGGAACUGCAUCCAAAACUGGCGAGCUAGAGUAUGGUAGAGGGUGGUGGAAUUUCCUGUGUAGCGGUGAAAUGCGUAGAUAUAGGAAGGAACAUCAGUGGCGAAGGCGACCACCUGGACUGAUACUGACACUGAGGUGCGAAAGCGUGGGGAGCAAACAGGAUUAGAUACCCGGGUAGUCCCUGUCUCUUAUAC